This is a long non-coding RNA of Xenia sp. Carnegie-2017, 638 nucleotides long. RefSeq lists it as uncharacterized. NCBI's taxonomy places the organism in Eukaryota, Metazoa, Cnidaria, Anthozoa, Malacalcyonacea, Xeniidae. The record is from RefSeq and is a predicted model, not a curated record. The transcript has 2 exons.
GAAAUGCUAAUAAAUAGUGUUGAUUAAGUUAACACUUAAUUUUGCAACAGCAAAGUACGUUAAAGAGAAAGAUGUUUCAGUUUUAUAGAUCAUGUACAGCUAAGUGCUUUGCCACAUCUUCGCGUCAAUUCACGCAAGAAACAAUGUAAUGCUUGGAGAUUUAUCUAAAGUAAACAAAAUGAAGAUCGACAUAUAAACAAAGAUAUUUGUAAAGUUUCAUUAAUAAAGUCGUGUUUUUACGUUAGUUUUAAUCAAAGGCACAAAAGUGUUGGCGUGCACAUGAAUCAUGAAAAUACGAGCAAAAACGUUUGUUCAUUCUUAUUUAUAAAUUUAGGUUUCCUUUGAUUAUAUUUUAAAGUAAAUUUUCUUCGAUAUGGUAUUGAUGGUUAGCAUGAAGUUAUAGCACCUUGAAUUUUACAUCCUAAAACAAGUGCUAUCUCAGAGUAAUAAUGAACAAAUUAACUCUUUAUAAACUAUCUUCUCUUAUUCCUUUAAAAUUUGUGGUCCAAUUAUGGUCCAAUUUUGAAGAGCGGCAAGAACUUUAGAAUGCACGAGUAAACUUUGUUCGUAAUACAUUUACUUUAUGUAAACUGUAAAAGAUAUUUAUAGGUAUAUUAUAAAUGAAUAUUCAUAAUGAA